AUUGAACGCUGGCGGCAGGCCUAACACAUGCAAGUCGAGCGGGGUUUUCGGACCUAGCGGCGGACGGGUGAGUAAUGCGUAGGAAGCUACCCGAUAGAGGGGGAUACCAGUUGGAAACGACUGUUAAUACCGCAUAAUGUCUACGGACCAAAGUGUGGGACCUUCGGGCCACAUGCUAUCGGAUGCGCCUACGUUGGAUUAGCUAGUUGGUGGGGUAAUGGCUCACCAAGGCGACGAUCCCUAGCUGGUUUGAGAGGAUGAUCAGCCACACUGGAACUGAGACACAGUCCAGCCUCCUACGAGGGGCAGCAGUGGGGAAUAUUGGAAAAUGGGCGCAAGCCUGAUCCAGCCAUGCCGCGUGUGUGAAGAAGGCCUUCGGGUUGUAAAGCACUUUCAGUAGGGAGGAAGGGUUAAGUGUUAAUAGUACUUAACUUUGACGUUACCUACAGAAGAAGCACCGGCUAACUCUGUGCCAGCCGCCGCAGUAA
This 488-nucleotide ribosomal RNA is filed under the name uncultured bacterium. Its description in RNAcentral is "partial 16S ribosomal RNA". It matches the Rfam family "Bacterial small subunit ribosomal RNA", at positions 30 to 523 of the family's 1533-position model. The record is from RNAcentral.